CGGUUUUCAUCACAGUUCCUUUUCAUGAUUCUGUAGCACUGGAAUGAUUAGUUUGUUCUUCAGUAACUUCUUCUUCAGUAUCAUAGUUAGUAAACAUAUGAGGUUUGGCAAGUUAGUAUUUACCAUUGAUGCUUGAAAUAAAUAGCAUGACUGGUGUUGCACCAUGUGUGUGUAGGUUUUUCCUUUUAGUUUACUUAUAUAUGCCUCUCCUAUAUUCUAAAACAAAUUCGAACUGUUAGUAUUUACCUUAAUCUCUUCCACAUGGAAGAUAGGAAAACUACAUACGGAAGGAUGAGUUCUAUAGCGUAUCAGAUUCAGGCAUUUGCACUAUUUUCUUGAUUACCUCACUAUGAUUAUUGUUGUAGACUUUUAGUAUAUUCCUCACAGGCGAACCCGUAUUUUCUUCAAAUCUAUAGCACACAUCUUUUUGCUAUAGUCAUUUCGCCAUGGAUGCAACAGUCUAGGAAAACAAGAUACCUGUAUGUUUUCAUUCAUUUGCCUUUUUAUGUGAGAAGUGUCUCCAUGGGAUUAGCGAGGUGUAUUUAUGCUUACCCCUUUUUAGUGUUUGGUGAAGCCGAUGGACUGUGAACAUUAUGUACCACAUAUUGUCGCCUUUUGCCUUUUUAUUACUUAUAAUAUGUCAUGACAAUUUAUUUUCCUGAGCCAUUUAGUCAAACUAGCCAGUCAAGGAUAGCCAAUGGUCUUUUGGCUAUUUGUUUGUUCAUUUCAUUCAACAUGCAUGUUUCUGGAGUAGUCUUGGCGCAAGACACAUAAUCAAAGUUGAUUUUCUUAUAAGCUGAUCAUCACAUAGCUAAUUGGUAGUUACACUAGUUGAGCUUGUCCUAUGCUCAUUGUACAGGAUAGAUAAAGUGUAUGUGAACUUCUUGAUGAGGAGAAGUCUUUUUAGAGAUUCCAAUACAAAUUACAUACGGAUGUAUAUAGACAUAUUUUAGAAUGUAGAUUCACCUAUUUUGUUCUGUAUGUAGUCCGCAUUGAAAUCUCUAAAAGGACUUAUAUUUAGGAACGGUGGGAGUGGGAUACGAUUAAGUAUUUAAAUUAACCAUAUGAGCACUAUUUCUUUGAGUCCCACAAGGAUGUCAUCUUUAUUCACAUGUUAUGUGUUAUGUCACAUCAACUUCUGCCCUUUUGUUUUCUGCAGAACACGACAACUGUUCAUCACCUAAAAGGAGAGAAUAACACCAAAGGAGUUAUGAUAGCAGCACUUAUAGGCAUCGAGGAAUUGGCAAAGAGAUUACGCUUCAUAGGUAUGAAGUUAGAACAACGGCUGGAAACUAUGAAAGGCCGUUUCUAAUUACCUUUGUUGGAUCUGUCUUACCUACAAUGCAUGUGUGACCCCUGGAGAAGCCACUUUUUGUUUCGUCUGCAGUAUACUCCAUGUUUAGUUCCAGUGAUGCCCUAACCCUUUUGUUCCUGCUCUGAAGAAUCAGACAUGUAUAGGCUUCAGAUUUUUGUAAUCAUCUAUGUGCUAAACAUCCCUUUGUGGUCAUGUGUUUUAUAUGUAAUCAAGUAUCUAUCCAUGAUGAUAUAUAUGCCCAGCUAAUGUUUGAAAAGAUCCAUCAUCUGUAUCACCACUGCUGGAUAACCGCUAUAAAUCUACUAGCAGUACCGGUCAUAUAAAAUAGCUACCGUUACUGAUCAUUUGUAUUACCACUGCUGGAUAACCAUUAUAAAUAUAUCAGCUAAUGUUUAUUUCAUUUAUUUGAUUUAACUUUUUAUUUUUUGAUUUGACAUCUUUUUUAGACAAAAUAAUUUAAUUUAGUUGUGCCAAUUCAAAUUUACACCAUGUUGUUGGGCUUAGAAAAAAGGUAAAUAAUAAAUUAAGUUUUGUUGUGUCGACAUGGGCACAAGACACGGUUGCUGACGCCUUGACCUUAUCAAUCCCCUUCUUCCCUCCGUGUACCAAACCUUCUCUCGCUCACCCUUUCUCUUCCAGACCAUCGUCGUUGUUCCUCAACUUCGAUUGCAAUAUCAACACGUCAGUUCCUUAGGUGGAUCCUCACUGAAUCAGACCGCUUAACAGGCGAACCUUUACCAACAUGGUAUUAUUUCAAUUUUGAGUUAGUGUUGUUCCUUAGAGACAUGGUCAAAGACUGAGAAAUUUUAGAUUUGCUUGCAUCUUGGUUUGCCCGUGACUGAAAUCAAUAUUUCUUCGUUGCUAACAAGAAAAGAUCAGUUGUCUCAUGCAGAUGCAUACCCUGUUGAUAUGUUACUGCUCAUUUCAGAAGUGUUUGAUUCAUCGUAGCUAAUUCAAGUUAACCUGGGUACAACAAUAGAUAGACAUUUAUUUAUGGACAACAAUAGUAGUGAGCAAGCAAUGUAAAAUGCAUUUAUGUUAGUUCGACGAAACUGACGGUACUUUGUUCUUGCUUCUAUAUCCUGAUUUGGCAAUUUUAUGAUCGGUCUCUAAAUAUUUCAACUUGCAUGGUUUGAAUUAGUUUCACAUGCUAAAGUAUAUAGUUUGAACAUAGGUAUUCCUUAGUGCUUGCUAAAACUCGAAGUUACUAACAAAUGCGAAGGUUUCUGUUACAAAAGGUUUAGAAUCAUUACCCUUGAUGCUUAAAUUUGGAGCACCUUACUUGGGUAACAUAGAGCCAAAUGGCAUAUUUCCCGAAUACAUGUUCAAAACACUUCGGGUUUGACAUGGUCUCUAUCUUUGAUCAAACAUAAAGUUACUAUAAAAGGCAAAUAUUUUUCAACAUGAACAUGGUUUUAAAUGGGUCUCUGUGCCAUUUGGCGCACCGGGUCAUCUAGUUUACAGAGAAAGCAAAGGCAGUGCAACUGGGGACAUCAGCGUGAAGUAAGAGCAACUCCAACGGGCCGACCCAAACGGACGGCGCUUUUGUCCGUUUUUUGUCCGUUUGGGUCGGCCAGGCGGACAUGGAUGUCCGUUUCCGCGUUUGGGUCGGCGCAUGCGCCCAACGCUGGCCCGACCCAUUUUGACGGCGCUAGAAAAAAAAUAACGCCUGCAUAUUAAAAAAGAAAAAUAGCAUUAAUUAAACAUAAAGUCAGCCACGAAGGCCGGCGAGAGUCCACGCAUCCACAUUUGCAUUUAAAAAUAAAUAAAAACAACCUAAACUACGAGGCAGCGCGCUGCCCUAGGCGUCGUCGUCGUCCUCGGGGUCCGUGAGGUCGAUGAGCGUCGGCGCCGGCCCGGCCCAAGAGAACGUUGUGUUCCAGAGCGCGGUCAUGUCGGACGCAGGCUGUGCCGGCGCGGGGGGCUGUGCGGCCGCCUAUGCAGCCGCGGCCUGGCGCGCCUCCUCCUCGGCCUCGCGCUGCUCCUCCUCGAGGUUGCGCUCGAGCAUCUCGAGGUACUCGCCGUCGCGACGCUUCUCGGCCACCCGGAUCUGGCGCUAGUGCUCGAGGUACGCCGGCGUCGCCCCCAUCCAGACCGGCGGCGCGCGUACCCACUCGCGCACUACUCCCGUCCAGGAGUAGCGCUCAAUGGGGGGCGGCUCCGGCUGCUUCUCCGGCUUGACGAGGCAUCAGAGAGGGGACGGCGGGGCCACCGGCGGCACCACGCAGUCGCCCGCUGCGGAGAAGACAAGUGCAUGCGCCAUUGCCGCCUCGUACCAAGCCUCCUCUUCCUCCGCCGCCUCCGCCCUGCGCCGCUCGUCCUCCUCGCUCUCCCGAUAGACGGCCGCAAGGGCCGCCUGGUCCUCCUCGCGGACGACGAGCGGCGGCGGCGGCUCGCUCCGGUCGACCUCGCGCACGCCCCGUCACCUCGUCUCCUCGUGCUCGAAGGCGAACCACCUCGCCCAGUUGGGCGAGUCGGAUGCGUAGGCGGGCUCGCGGCGCUGCUCCGGCGUCAGCAGCGCCCGCCGGCGCCACACCUCCUGUUGGGAAUCGUAGCAUAAUUUUAAAAUUUUCCUACGUUCACCAAGAUGCAUCUAUGGAGUAUAAUAGCAACGAGGGGAAGGGAGUGCAUCUACAUACCCUUGUAGAUCGCGAGCGGAAGCGUUCCAAUGAACGUGGAUGACGGAGUCGUACUCGCCGUGAUCCAAAUCACCGAUGACCGAGUGCCGAACGCACGGCACCUCCGCGUUCAACACACGUACGGUGCAGCGACGUCUCCUCCUUGAUCCAGCAAGGGGGAAGGAGAGGUUGAUGGAGAUCCAGCAGCACGACGGUGUGGUGGUGGAUGUAGCGGUUCUCCGGCAGGGCUUCGCCGAGCUUCUGCGAGAGAGAGAGGUGUUGCAGGGGAGGAGGGAGGCGCCCAAGGUUGUAGGUUGCUGCCCUCCCUCCCCCCCCCUUUAUAUAGGCCCCCUGGGGGGGCGCCGGCCCAGGGAGAUGGGAUCUCCAAGGGGGGGCGGCGGCCAAAGGGGGGAAGGGGUGCCUUGCCCCCCAAGGCAAGGGGGAAGCUCCCCCCCUAGGGUUCCCAACCCUAGGCGCAUGGGGGGAGGCCCAAGGGGGGCGCCCCAGCCCACUAAGGGCUGGUUCCCUUCCACUUUCAGCCCACGGGGCCCUUCGGGAUAGGUGGCCCCACCCGGUGGACCCCCGGGACCCUUCUGGUGGUCCCGGUACAAUACCGGUAACCCCCGAAACUUUCCCGGUGGCCGAAACUGGACUUCCUAUAUAUAAUUCUUCACCUCCGGACCAUUCCGGAACCUCUUGUGACGUCCGGGAUCUCAUCCGGGACUCCGAACAACUUUCGGGUUUCCGCAUACAUAUAUCUCUACAACCCUAGCGUCACCGAACCUUAAGUGUGUAGACCCUACGGGUUCGAGAGACAUGCAGACAUGACCGAGACGCCUCUCCGGUCAAUAACCAACAGCGGGAUCUGGAUACCCAUGGUGGCUCCCACAUGUUCCACGAUGAUCUCAUCGGAUGAACCACGGUGUCGAGGAUUCAAUCAAUCCGUAUGCAAUUCCCUUUGUCAAUCGCUAUGUUACUUGCCCGAGAUUCGAUCGUCGGUAUCCCAAUACCUUGUUCAAUCUCGUUACCGGCAAGUCUCUUUAAUCGUACCGCAAUGCAUGAUCCCGUGACUAACGCCUUAGUCACAUUGAGCUCAUUAUGAUGAUGCAUUACCGAGUGGGCCCAGAGAUACCUCUCCGUCACACGGAGUGACAAAUCCCAGUCUCGAUCCGUGCCAACCCAACAGACACUUUCGGAGAUACCCGUAGUGCACCUUUAUAGUCACCCAGUUACGUUGUGACGUUUGGCACACCCAAAGCACUCCUACGGUAUCCGGGAGUUGCACGAUCUCAUGGUCUAAGGAAAAGAUACUUGACAUUGGAAAAGCUCUAGCAAACGAAACUACACGAUCUUUUAUGCUAUGCUUAGGAUUGGGUCUUGUCCAUCACAUCAUUAUCCUAAUGAUGUGAUCCCGUUAUCAAUGACAUCCAAUGUCCAUAGUCAGGAAACCAUGACUAUCUGUUGAUCAACGAGCUAGUCAACUAGAGGCUUACUAGGGACACUUUGUGGUCUAUGUAUUCACACAUGUAUUACGAUUUCCGGACAAUACAAUUAUAGCAUGAAUAAUAGACAAUUACCAUGAACAAAGAAAUAUAAUAAUAACCAUUUAUUAUUGCCUCUAGGGCAUAUUUCCAACAGUCUCCCACUUGCACUAGAGUCAAUAAUCUAGUUACAUUGUGAUGAAUCGAACACCCAUUGCGUCCUGGUGUUGAUCAUGUUUUUCCCUAGGGAGAGGUUUAGUCAACGGAUCUGCUACAUUCAGGUCCGUAUGUACUUUACAAAUAUCUAUGUCUCCAUUUUGAACACUUUCACGAAUGGAGUUGAAGCGACGCUUGAUAUGCCUGGUCUUCCUGUGAAACCUGGGCUCCUUCGCAAGGGCAAUGGCUCCAGUGUUGUCACAGAAGAGAGUCAUCGGGCCCGACGCAUUGGGAAUCACCCCUAGGUCGGUAAUGAACUCCUUCAUCCAGACUGCUUCCUGUGCUGCCUCCGAGGCUGCCAUGUACUCCGCUUCACAUGUAGAUCCCGUCACGACGCUUUGCUUGCAACUGCACCAGCUUACUGCUCCUCCAUUCAAUAUAUACAUGUAUCCGGUCUGUGACUUCGAGUCAUCCAGAUCUGUGUCGAAGCUAGCGUCGACGUAACCCUUUACGAUGAGCUCUUCGUCACCUCCAUAAACGAGAAACAUAUCCUUAGUCCUCUUCAGGUACUUCAGGAUAUUCUUGACCGCUGUCCAGUGUUCCUUGCCGGGAUUACUUUGGUACCUUCCUACCAAACUUACGGCAAGGUUUACAUCAGGUCUGGUACACAGCAUGGCAUACAUAAUAGACCCUAUGGCCGAGGCAUAGGGGAUGACACUCAUCUCUUCUAUAUCUUCUGCCGUGGUCGGGCAUUGAGCCGUGCUCAAUUGCACACCUUGCAAUACAGGCAAGAACCCCUUCUUGGACUGAUCCAUACUGAACUUCUUCAAUAUCUUGUCAAGGUAUGUACUCUGUGAAAGACCAAUGAGGCGUCUUGAUCUAUCUCUAUAGAUCUUGAUGCCCAAUAUAUAAGCAGCUUCUCCAAGGUCCUUCAUUGAAAAACACUUAUUCAAAUAGGCCUUUAUACUUUCCAAGAAUUCUAUAUCAUUUCCCAUCAAUAGUAUGUCAUCCACAUAUAAUAUGAGAAAUGCUACAGAGGUCCCACUCACUUUCUUGUAAACACAGGCUUCUCCAUAAGUCUGUGUAAACCCAAACGCUUUGAUCAUCUCAUCAAAGCGAAUGUUCCAACUCCGAGAUGCUUGCACCAGCCCAUAGAUUGAGCGCUGGAGCUUGCAUACUUUGUUAGCAUUCUUAGGAUCGACAAAACCUUCCGGCUGCAUCAUAUACAACUCUUCCUUAAGGAAGCCGUUAAGGAAUGCCGUUUUGACGUCCAUCUGCCAUAUCUCAUAAUCAUAGUAUGCGGCAAUUGCUAACAUGAUUCGGACGGACUUCAGCUUCGCUACGGGUGAGAAAGUCUCAUCGUAGUCAACCCCUUGAACUUGUCGAUAACCCUUAGCGACAAGUCAAGCUUUGUAGAUGGUCACAUUACCAUCUGCGUCCGUCUUCUUCUUAAAGAUCCAUUUGUUUUCUAUGGCUCGCCGCUCAUCGGGCAAGUCAGUCAAAGUCCAUACUUUGUUUUCAUACAUGGAUUCUAUCUCGGAUUUCAUGGCUUCUAGCCAUUUGUCGGAAUCCGAGCCCGCCAUCGCUUCUUCAUAGUUCGAAGGUUCACCGUUGUCUAACAACAUGAUUUCCAGGACAGGGUUGCCGUACCACUCUGGUGCGGAACGUGUCCUUGUGGACCUACGAAGUUCAGUAACUUGAUCCGAAGCUUCAUGAUCAUCAUCAUUAACUUCCUCCCCAGUCGGUGUAGGCACCACAGGAACAUUUUCCCGCGCUGCGCUACUUUCCUGUUCGGAAGGGGUGACUAUCACCUCAUCAAGUUCCACUUUCCUCCCACUCAAUUCUUUCGAGAGAAACUCCUUCUCUAGAAAGGACCCGUUCUUGGCAACGAAGAUCUUGCCCUCGGAUCUGAGGUAGAAGGUAUACCCAAUAGUUUCCUUAGGGUAUCCUAUGAAGACGCAUUUUUCUGACUUGGGUUCGAGCUUUUCAGGUUGAAGUUUCUUGACAUAAGCAUCGCAUCCCCAAACUUUUAGAAAUGACAGCUUAGGUUUCUUCCCAAACCAUAAUUCAUACGGUGUCGUCUCAACAGAUUUCGACGGAGCCCUAUUUAAAGUGAAUGCGGCAGUCUCUAAAGCAUAGCCCCAAAAUGAGAGCGGUAAAUCGGUAAGAGACAUCAUAGAUCGCACCAUAUCCAAUGAGUGCGAUUACGACGUUCGGACACACCGUUUCUCUGAGGUGUUCCAGGCGGCGUGAGUUGUGAAACUAUUCCACAUUUUCUUAAGUGUGUACCAAAUUCGUGACUUAAAUAUUCUCCACCACGAUCUGAUCGUAAGAAUUUUAUUUUCCUGUCACGUUGAUUCUUGACUUCACUCUGAAAUUCCUUGAACUUUUCAAAGGUUUCAGACUUGUGUUUCAUUAGGUAGACAUACCCAUAUCUACUUAAAUCAUCAGUGAGAGUGAGAACAUAACGAUAUCCUCCGCGAGCCUCAACACUCAUUAGACCGCACACAUCGGUAUGUAUGAUUUCCAAUAAGUUGGUUGCUCGCUCCAUUGUUCCGGACAACGGAGUCUUGGUCAUCUUACCCAUGAGGCAUGGUUCGCACGUGUCAAAUGAUUCGUAAUCAAGAGACUCCAAAAGUCCAUCUGCAUGGAGCUUCUUCGUGCGCUUGACACCAAUGUGACCAAGGCGGCAGUGCCACAAGUAUGUGGGACUAUCGUUAUCAACUUUACAUCUUUUGGUAUUCACACUAUGAACAUGUGUAACAUCACGUUCGAGAUUCAUCAAAAAUAAACCAUUGACCAGCGGGGCAUGACCAUAAAACAUAUCUCUCAAAUAAAUAGAACAACCAUUAUUCUCGGAUUUAAAUGAGUAGCCAUCUCGAAUUAAACGAGAUCCAGAUACAAUGUUCAUGCUUAAAGCUGGCACUAAAUAACAAUUAUUGAGGUUUAAAACUAAUCCCGUGGGUAGAUGCAGAGGUAGCGUGCCGACGGCGAUCACAUCGACCUUGGAACCAUUCCCGACACGCAUCGUCACCUCGUCCUUCGCCAGUCUCCGUUUAUUCCGUAGUUCCUGUUUUGAGUUACAAAUAUGAGCAACCGCACCGGUAUCAAAUACCCAGGAGCUACUACGAGUACUGGUAAAGUACACAUCAAUUACAUAUAUAUCACAUAUACCUUUGGUGUUGCCGGCCUCCUUGUCCGCUAAGUAUUUGGGGCAGUUCCGCUUCCAGUGACCACUUCCCUUGCAAUAAAAGCACUCAGUUUCAGGCUUGGGUCCAUUCUUUGACUUCUUCCCAGUAACUGGCUUACCGGGCGCGGCAACUCCCUUGCCGUCCUUCUUGAAGUUCUUCUUACCCUUGCCCUUCUUGAACUUAGUGGUUUUAUUCACCAUCAACACUUGAUGUUCUUUUCUGAUCUCCCCUUCCGCUGAUUUCAGCAUUGAAUAUACCUCGGGAAUGGUCUUUUCCAUCCCCUGCAUAUUGUAGUUCAUCACAAAGCUCUUGUAGCUUGGUGGAAGCGACUGGAGGAUUCUGUCAAUGACCGCGUCAUCCGGGAGAUUAACUCCCAGCUGAGACAAGCGGUUGUGCAACCCAGACAUUCUGAGUAUGUGCUCACUAACAGAACUGUUCUCCUCCAUUUUACAGCUGAAGAACUUGUCGGAGACAUCAUAUCUCUCGACCCGGGCAUGAGCUUGAAAAACCAGUUUCAGCUCCUCGAACAUCUCAUAUGCUCCAUGUUUCUCAAAACGCUUUUGGAGACCCGGCUCUAAGCUGUAAAGCAUGCCGCACUGAACGAGGGAGUAAUCAUCAGCACGUGAUUGCCAAGCGUUCAUAACGUCUUGGUUCUGUGGGAUUGGUGCAUCACCUAGCGGUGCUUCUAAGACAUAAUCUUUCUUGGCUACUAUAAGGAUGAGCCUCAGGUUCCGGACCCAGUCCGUAUAGUUGCUGCCAUCAUCUUUCAGCUUGGUUUUCUCUAGGGACGCGUUGAAAUUGAGGACAACGUUGGCCAUUUGAUCUACAAGACAUAGUGUAAAGAUUUUAGACUAAGUUCAUGAUAAUUGAGUUCAUCUAAUCAAAUUACUCAAUGAACUCCCACGCAGAUAGACAUCCCUCCAGUCAUCUAAGUGAAACAUGAUCCGAAUUAACUAGGCCGUGUCCAAUCAUCACGUGAGACGGACUAGUCAAGAUCGGUGAACAUCUCCAUGUUGAUCGUAUCUUCUAUACGACUCAUGCUCGACCUUUCGGUCCUCCGUGUUCCGAGGCCAUGUCUGUACAUGCUAGGCUCGUCAAGUCAACCUAAGUGUAUUGCGUGUGUUCCGAGGCCAUGUCUGUACAUGCUAGGCUCGUCAACACCCGUUGUAUUCGAACGUUAGAAUCUAUCACACCCGAUCAUCACGUGGUGCUUCGAAACAACGAACCUUCGCAACGGCGCACAGUUAGGGUGAACACUUUCUUGAAAUUAUUAUAAGGGAUCAUCUUACUUACUACCGUCGUUCUAAGUAAAUAAGAUGCAAAAACAUGAUAAACAUCACAUGCAAUCAAAUAGUGACAUGAUAUGGCCAAUAUCAUGAUGCUCCUUUGAUCUCCAUCUUCGGGGCACCAUGAUCAUCUUCGUCACCGGCAUGACACCAUGAUCUCCAUCAUUGUGUCUUCAUGAAGUCGUCACGCCAACGAUUACUUCUACUUCUAUGGCUAACCGUUUAGCAACAAAGUAAAGUAAUUUACAUGGCGUUAUUCAAUGACACGCAGGUCAUGCAAAAUAAUAAAGACAACUCCUAUGGCUCCCGCCGGUUGUCAUACUCAUCGACAUGCAAGUCGUGAUUCCUAUUACAAGAAUAUGAUCAAUCUCAUACAUCACAUAUAUCAUUCAUCACAUCUUCUGGCCAUAUCACAUCACAUAGCACUUGCUGCAAAAACAAGUUAGACGUCCUCUAAUUGUUGUUGCAAGUUUUUACGUGGUUUGUAGGUUUCUAGCAAGAACGUUUUCUUACCUACGUAUGACCACAACGUGAUUUGCCAAUUUCUAUUUACCCUUCAUAAGGACCCUUUUCAUCGAAUCCGUUCCGACUAAAGUAGGAGAGACAGACACCCGCUAGCCACCUUAUGCAACUAGUGCAUGUUAGUCGGUGGAACCUGUCUCACGUAAGCGUACGUGUAAGGUCGGUCCGGGCCGCUUCAUCCUACAAUGCCGCCGAAACAAGAAACGACUAGUAGCGGCAAGAAGAAUUGGCAACAUCAACGCCCACAACUUCUUUGUGUUCUACUCGUGCAUAGUAACUACGCAUAGGCCUGGCUCAUGAUGCCACUGUUGGGAAUCGUAGCAUAAUUUUAAAAUUUUCCUACGUUCACCAAGAUGCAUCUAUGGAGUAUACUAGCAACGAGGGGAAGGGAGUGCAUCUACAUACCCUUGUAGAUCGCGAGCGGAAGCGUUCCAAUGAACGUGGAUGACGGAGUCGUACUCGCCGUGAUCCAAAUCACCGAUGACCGAGUGCCGAACGGACGGCACCUCCGCGUUCAACACACGUACGGUGCAGCGACGUCUCCUCCUUCUUGAUCCAGCAAGGGGGAAGGAGAGGUUGAUGGAGAUCCAGCAGCACGACGGCGUGGUGGUGGAUGUAGCGGUUCUCCGGCAGGGCUUCGCCGAGCUUCUGCGAGAGAGAGAGAGAGGUGUUGCAGGGGAGGAGGGAGGCGCCCAAUGUUGUAGGUUGCUGCCCUCCCUCCCCCCUUUAUAUAGGCCCCCUGGGGGGGCGCCGGCCCAGGGAGAUGGGAUCUCCAAGGGGGGGCGGCGGCCAAAGGGGGGAAGGGGUGCCUUGCCCCCCAAGGCAAGGGGGAAGCUCCCCCCCUAGGGUUCCCAACCCUAGGCGCAUGGGGGGAGGCCCAAGGGGGGAGCCCCAGCCCACUAAGGGCUGGUUCCCUUCCACUUCAGCCCACGGGGCCCUCCGGGAUAGGUGGCCCCACCCGGUGGACCCCCGGGACCCUUCCGGUGGUCCCGGUACAAUACCGGUAACCCCCGAAACUUUCCCGGUGGCCGAAACUGGACUUCCUAUAUAUAAUUCUUCACCUCCGGACCAUUCCGGAACCUCUUGUGACGUCCGGGAUCUCAUCCGGGACUCCGAACAACUUUCGGGUUUCCGCAUACAUAUAUCUCUACAACUCUAGCGUCACCGAACCUUAAGUGUGUAGACCCUACGGGUUCGGGAGACAUGCAGACAUGACCGAGACGCAUCUCCGGUCAAUAACCAACAGCGGGAUCUGGAUACCCAUGUUGGCUCCCACAUGUUCCACGAUGAUCUCAUCGGAUGAACCACGGUGUCGAGGAUUCAAUCAAUCCGUAUGCAAUUCCCUUCGUCAAUCGGUAUGUUACUUGCCCGAGAUUCGAUCGUCGGUAUCCCAAUACCUUGUUCAAUCUCGUUACCGGCAAGUCUCUUUAAUCGUACCGCAAUGCAUGAUCCCGUGACUAACGCCUUAGUCACAUUGAGCUCAUUAUGAUGAUGCAUUACCGAGUGGGCCCAGAGAUACCUCUCCGUCACACGGAGUGACAAAUCCCAGUCUCGAUCCGUGCCAACCCAACAGACACUUUCGGAGAUACCCGUAGUGCACCUUUAUAGUCACCCAGUUACGUUGUGACGUUUGGCACACCCAAAGCACUCCUACGGUAUCCGGGAGUUGCACGAUCUCAUGGUCUAAGGAAAAUAUACUUGACAUUGGAAAAGCUCUAGCAAACGAAACUACACGAUCUUUUAUGCUAUGCUUAGGAUUGGGUCUUGUCCAUCACAUCAUUCUCCUAAUGAUGUGAUCCCGUUAUCAAUGACAUCCAAUGUCCAUAGUCAGGAAACCAUGACUAUCUGUUGAUCAACGAGCUAGUCAAUUAGAGGCUUAUUAGGGACACGUUGUGGUCUAUGUAUUCACACAUGUAUUACGAUUUCCGGACAAUACAAUUAUAGCAUGAAUAAUAGACUAUUAUCAUGAACAAAGAAAUAUAAUAAUAACCAUUUAUUAUUGCCUCUAGGGCAUAUUUCCAACACCUCCUCCACGUGAGCCCUAGCCGUCCGCGGCGCCGCCGGCACUGGAAUCCUAUCUGGAUCCAGAUGUCAGUCGUGCGGCAGGGUCACGUCGGGGUACGGCAGAGGCUGGUGGUGCCGCCAGUGCCACUCCGCCUGAUGCACUGGCACGUUCACGCGCUGCCUCUGCCGGCGAGGCGCCAGCGGAGGCGGGAGGAACUCUGAGGGGGAAGGGGUGGCGGGGGCCUUGCCCUUGGCCUUGCUGCUGCCGGCGCCGGAGAAGAGCCCCAUCUCGCUGUGGUUGUGGUGGCUAGGGUUUGCCGACGAUGGGGGAGCAAAGCUUGCUAGAUGUGGACGGCGAGUUUGGAUGAGGACGGCCCCGCCGCACGGUCGGCUUAAAAAAGAACGAGCGCCGUCGCUGACGCGUGGGCCCGUGGUCAUAAAUUAAGCUGACCACGUGGGUUGCGGGUAGUUGGACGGCCGCCAGGUGGGGACGCCGCGGACAGCGAGAAGGCGCGCAUGGCGUCCGUUCGGCGUCCGCGCCGACGCAUUUGUGGGGCAAAUUUGGGCCGCAAAUGCGUCGGCGCGGACUCGAUGCGGACAUGAUUUGGGUUUGGGUCGGCGCAUUGGGCCGCCACUUUUAUCCGCGCGACCCAAACGGACGGCGGCGGACGAAAUGGGUCGGCCCUUUGGAGUUGCUCUAACAGAGCCGGACAUCAACUGUGGACAAGAAACCUAGCGCCCAAUCACAGGUACUUCCUAUGUAUUUACCUGAUUUUGCCCCCGAAAAUGGCGUGAAAAUGUCUCACCGUUUCUUCGAAGUGAAAGUGUGUGUUGUGUAUUUAUACACCCCCCUCUGUCAAGUGUUGGCGCCGUGAAGUGUUCAUUGGCUACGCCACCACCAAUCCUUCUCCUCGACAGAGCAUUCUGUGUGUGUAGUGCCAUUUCUUGGCUGGCUCUGUCCAUGGAGAAGGAGCGCGGCGCAGAAGAAAGGGAGAUGAAGCAGAGCAAGCCGCCGCCGAGGCGUGGCCGAGUCAUGAGGAGCAUCGUCAAACUCCUCUGCUUUUGCGGUGCUCCCGCGGAAGGUUAGAAUAGAAGGCCUUGGAGCUUCUUAAGCUGGCGCGUAUAAUAUACAAUCGUUGUCUGUGUGUGUGAGUGUAUGUGGGCUUCCUUUUCUUUCUAAACGUAUGUGUGCAUUAGUUAAUGUUCUCGAGGACUGUGGAUUACGUAGUAACUGUUACUACUACUGUGUAUGAUGGGUUGUCAUUGCGUUUGAAGUUUGUGUACUUCGUGUCACGCAUGUAAACCGAACGACAUUGGUAAUGUAUAUUUUUCGUAACAUAUAGUUGUGCUUAUGUUGCUGUUCACUCUGUUCAGCGAUCAAUUGAUCUUAGUUGGCCAGUUGCAGCGGCAAUGAUCAAGAGCAAGAGCAUGGUACCAAUAGAUCACCGGUGGCGGCUUUGGUCGGUGAAAUCAAACGUUUACUCCAAGGAGACAAAGAGUUUAAGAUUGUGCGCUAUUUCUCGUGACCAAAACAUUGUUAGUCAUAGACUUGCCCAGUUGGGGGUGCUCUUCUCCGCAUGUAGUUGUCUGGUUGCGCCCAGGUCCUGAUAAGAUGUAAGCCCCUGCCCUCUGUGGCCAAACCAUUCAUUGAUAUAAUUUGUUUUACCUAUACAAAUCAUGCCAGGAAAUCUGUUGAUCAUGCAUGUAUCUUGAUGGCUUUUCAUUAUCUACAUGUAAGUUAUUGAUUAUCCAGUUGUUCAAAGAGUUAGCUUUACUCUACUUUAAUCUGUAUGUCACUAUUGUGAGGGCUUCAUGAAAAUUAUACCUUUUGAUUUGAACAUAAGUUGGUGUGUUUCUAUAUAUCUUGUCUGCUUUUUAUAUCCAAUAUUCUAGCAUCCCGUUAUGAUGAUAUCCAUAGUGUCCUUAAGUAGCAACUUAAUAAAACUUCAUCAGAAAAGGAAAUACCUCUUCUUUAAGUGCUACCACUGAGUGCCAGCAUUGAAUAGCAAAUGAAUCCCAUGGUAGACGAAGCAAUGUUUCUUCAGCUUCGUCUGAACAUAAGGAGCAUUUUGUAAGUGCUCAUGUGGAAGGUUAUCUAGCUCCUUGUAGUUCUCCUUUAAGGAUUGCUUGAUUCCCAAAAUUGUAAAAAAAAAUAGAACAAACAAAAAAAUUAAUGGCACUUCAACUAGAUUUGUACAUGAUUAAAAAUAUUUUUUAAAUCUAAUAAGAGGUUUCAAUGGAUAAAAAAACAUAAGAAAAACAUGCAAACAAAUACUAAAUGGCUUAAUCCUACAGACCAACAACACACUUGGAAAGAACAUUCUUAAGAAUUUCACCUCCAAAGAGUCCCUCUCUAAAAUAUCAACUUUAAUAUAAGCCUCUCUUUCAAAACCUUAGUGCCCCCUCCUCCCAACGACACCUGGGGCACGCUAGCACCGCCACAUCCACACUCCUUCGCGUAGCUCACUUGAUGUCGUUGUAACAACCACUAGCUCGGUGUUGGCGGCCCUAACAUCAAAGCUUAUCGGGGCUUCAUUUACAGUGUCGGAUUGUUGUCGGACCAUUUAUAGUGGGAGUUACGAUGACAGAAACUUGUUGCGACGGUGGUAGUGAGGUGAGGUAGGUGAUGAGCGAGGUGUCACUGGUAGAAAAUGGGCCUUUAGUCCCGGUUCGCAAAGGCCUUUAGUCCCGGCUGUGCAACCGGGACUAAAUAUGCGCGACUAAAGACCCCCCCCCCCCUUUAGUCGCGCCUCUUACGAACCGCGACUAAAGGCUUUAGUCCCGGUUCUCGUGGCUAACCGGGACUAAAGGCCCGUCCACGUGGGCGCCAGGGGUCCGUCGGGGCGGAGGACCUUUAGUCCCGGUUCUCGUGGCUAACCGGGACUAAAGGCCUCCUCCGUAGGUUUUAGCCCCCCUAAACCUGGCUUUUUUGCGAAUUUUUUUCUAUUUUUUUUAUUUUCAAAUUUCUGAAUUAUUUUAACCUCUAAUCUCUAAUCACCACCCCUCAUCACUGCUCAAUUUAUCCUCUAAUCUCUAAUCACCCCUCAUCAUUCCAAAUCAUCUAACUUCCCGGACGGUCACCCAUCCUCUCACUACUCCAGCCUGAGCACGCUUAACUUCCGGGUUCUAUUCUCCCUCGUUUCCAAGUCUGCACUUGUUGUUUUCCUGACAAUAGUAGGAUGUCAAUUCUAUUAACCCUCAGGAAUUUAGCUUGAGCAUGAAGUGACACAUUUCACUGUUUGAGUUUGAAACUAUUGUUUUAAAAAACAAUAAUUAUUUAGUAACACUAAUAUUUCUGAAAUAAUUAGUUUGACCAUUGUUUGACCACUGUUUGACCACAGUUUGACCAGAUUUGACCAAAAUUUUAAAAAAAACUGAAAUAAUUAUUUAGUAACACUAAUAUUCUAGAAUAAUUAGUUUGACCAUUGUUUGACCACAGUUUGACCACAAUUUGAAAUUUUUUGAAUUUUUUUGCCUCUCCAGAUCUUAAAAGCCCCGUAUCUUUUUUCUGUUAGGUUUUUGAGGAUUUUAAAAAUGUUUAACGAGGUUCCCCCAGUUAAAUUCGGAUGUAACUUUUCGAGUAGAUGAUUUUUCAUAUAAAAAACUUUUUCAUCCGAGUUUGUAUGCAAAAGUUAUGCCCAUUUUAAGAAAUUCCAGAGAGAUUUUGCAAAUAAAGUCGAAAUUCAUAUUUGUUAAUUUUCCCAACAACUAGACCACAUGUCACAUGAGAAACUUAUUUUAUUUUAUUUUUUUGACAUUUCCAUCAUUUUNNNNNNNNNNNNNNNNNNNNNNNNNNNNNNNNNNNNNNNNNNNNNNNNNNNNNNNNNNNNNNNNNNNNNNNNNNNNNNNNNNNNNNNNNNNNNNNNNNNNNNNNNNNNNNNNNNNNNNNNNNNNNNNNNNNNNNNNNNNNNNNNNNNNNNNNNNNNNNNNNNNNNNNNNNNNNNNNNNNNNNNNNNNNNNNNNNNNNNNNNNNNNNNNNNNNNNNNNNNNNNNNNNNNNNNNNNNNNNNNNNNNNNNNNNNNNNNNNNNNNNNNNNNNNNNNNNNNNNNNNNNNNNGGUUGGUCUGGCCAACCGCGACUAAAGGACUAACCUUUAGUCCCGGUUGGUCUGGCCAACCGCGACUAAAGGACUAACCUUUAGUCUCGGUUGGUCUGGCCAACCGCGACUAAAGGCCUUCGGGCCAGCCUGAGGACCUUUAGUCCCGGUUGGCCAGGCCAACCGCGACUAAAGCCCCUCCCGUCCGCCAGCUGUCGACCGAGCGCGCUGGGCCCAGAUAGUUGGUCGCGGGUCUCCUCCCGAACCGCGACUAAAGACCCCUUUGGUCGCGGUUCGAUUAUUUUGGGGACUAAUGGGGGCGUAUGGAAGCCUCUUUUUCUAUUAGUGUGUCUAUCUUGGAUUUGGCACGUGAUGUCUGGGUUUGUUGUUGACCAAACGUUGGAAGUCUGAUGUAGUGCGAUGGAUGUCGGGGUGGUGGCCUCAGGUUGAGUCUCAGAGACUAUCGGAUGUCACGGGUGGCAUGAAAUUUGGAGGCACGCCUUUACCUUCACCAAUUUAGGGUUAACCAGGAUUGUUCUUCUCUUAGUAGUUUUGGUCUCUCCGUAGUAGCGGCGGUGGCAGUGUCUGUGGAGUGGUGGUGUUGCUGCUUCGGACUUUUGUACAAUUUUCUUUCUGUUUAUGCUUUCAUUGAGUCAUCUCAUGUGAUACUUUCGGGAGCUUGUUGAUGUAUUUUUGCCUCCCAGCGGAUAUAUCACUUUUGGAUCGUCUAGUGGGUUGGCACUAUAUAGAAGAGACGCUGAUGGCUAGGGUUGGAGCUUCUAUGUCUGUUGAGUCUUACUACUCUACUAGUGUGUUUCGUAGAGCAUGAGUUUUGGGUGUAUGUUCGUGGCCUCUGCAUGCAUAUCUAACUUGGCUUUCACUUUAUUUACCCGAUGACUUUAUUUCCACCAAUUGCCUCCUUUGGUUUAGAGGAAUCUUGUAGGAAUUUCACAUGAUAUGAUUUCUAUAGGAAAAAUUCCUUUAGAGCCCUUUGGUUUGUAGGAAUGGAAUCCUAUUCCUAUGGGGGAAUUCUUCCUAUCCUCUACGUUUCAUAGGAAAAUAAACAUUAGCCCAAAGUCAAUGAAAAAAAUCUUAUGAUGUGAAUCAAAGGACAUCUCUUUUCCUAUUCCUAUUCAUAGGAUUUGAGAUACAUGUCAUCUCAUUUUCUAUGACUUUCCUAUUCCUACGAUUUUCCUAUCCUAUGAACCAAAGGAGGCCUGAAAAGGUAGAUCUCCUCUCCAUUGUCGAAAGAAAAUAUCAUAAAGAUUUCCAUUUUUCAUUCUUUUGGUUAGGACAUCUGAAUUCCAUCUUCUUAGUGUGACCUCUGAAUUUCAUAAGAAGGAUUCGAGCCAACAAAUCCUAGUUGGCGUCAACUAGCAUGCGAGCGACUUGGGCAGGGCCAGUCUACCUUUUGAUGUUGUAGGAUUUUUUUUCUUUGUUUUUUCUAUUGUGCAUUUGUUAACUUUUUAUUCAUAUUUCUUUUUUCUUCUGAUUAGGUUUUUCUCUUGGUUUUUUGUUUAGGGUUUUUUUAUGUGGUUCCCUCUUUUAUAAAAUGUUUGGAAAUUCCAUUGUUUUCUUAAUUUUUAAUAAAAAAUUGUUUCAAACAAUAUGCCGAAAAUUAAUAUAAUUUUGAUGCUCUCAAAUUUUCAGAAUUAAAAAACAUUUCAUAAAUUGUUAAAAAAUACAAAAAAUGUCCCUGCUUUCAAGAUUUGGUCACAAAUUAAAAGAUGUUUUCUUUUUUUUUUAAUAUCCAAAAAACAUAAAAUAUUCAUGUUUCAAAAAAUGUUAGGAUUUUUUUUAUUUGUUAAUACUCGAUGAACAAUUCUUUAAGAAUGAUGAGUAUUUUCUAAUAAAAGUUAAAGGUUUUUGUGAUAUAUAUUGAAGAUUGUUUUUUAAACACCCAGAACAUUUUUACUCCCUCCGUU
This 18533-nucleotide long non-coding RNA is filed under the name Triticum aestivum (bread wheat). Its description in RNAcentral is "long non-coding RNA (TAES_LNC013634)". Lineage: Eukaryota; Viridiplantae; Streptophyta; Magnoliopsida; Poales; Poaceae. The record is from RNAcentral.